CAUCAGCAGGAGCAACACAGCCACGAAUAUUUUGAGGACAAGGCCCUAAGUGCUACUCUUCCACCUGAGAAAUUGCAACCAAAGGAGAACCCUUAACAAGGGACCAGAUGCCAAGGAUCCAGCAGAGGAAUUUCUGGGGACAGUGGAAUUGCCAGAAGUUACCAGAAGAUAUGAAGAAUGGAGCUCUGGCUGCCAUCUUGGAUCAUGAAGAUGAAGAAGGUGGAGGAGAGAGCUUAAAAAAACUUGGAUUCUUGACAACCCUGUGGUACCUGGAUUUCUUGCCUCUGGACUUCAUUUAUGUAAAAAUGUACAAUACAAUGCAAGAGGUGCCCAGCCAUCUUGUGACCAUGAGCUACAACAUGUCAGGUGUUAUGAAGCAAGAAGACAGAAGGAGCCUGUGUCCUUGACACCAUAAAGCUGCUUGGACAGCCAUUGACUGCCUAUCCCUGGUCUACAUAUGAG
Molecule: long non-coding RNA, 462 nt
Organism: Canis lupus familiaris (dog)
Lineage: Eukaryota; Metazoa; Chordata; Mammalia; Carnivora; Canidae
Exons: 4
Source: RefSeq, a predicted model, not a curated record